GGCGCACGGGGGCUACGGGAGGCAGCAGUUAGGACUCUUCCACAAUGGCGAAAGCCUGAUGGACGACGCCGCGUGAGGGAUGAAGGUUUUCGGAUCGUAAACCUCUGAAUCAGGGACGAAAGACACUUCGGUGGGAUGACGGUACCUGAGUAAUACGUCGCUACACG
This 167-nucleotide ribosomal RNA is filed under the name uncultured bacterium. RNAcentral's name for it is "partial 16S ribosomal RNA". It matches the Rfam family "Bacterial small subunit ribosomal RNA", at positions 321 to 500 of the family's 1533-position model. The record is from RNAcentral.